Non-coding RNA from Odocoileus virginianus texanus, 756 nucleotides. Lineage: Eukaryota; Metazoa; Chordata; Mammalia; Artiodactyla; Cervidae. The record is from RefSeq and is a predicted model, not a curated record.
CAUGUGGCCAGCUGCACUGCUCCAUGGCAUCUUCAUUCUGAAACCCAGGCUGGGGCAUCAGUCUCUGUCUAGGACAUUUCUGUUCAUGAUGGCAACUGGCAAGGGGAGAAUUAGCAGAUAAAGAUUCUGCUUGGACGUGAUACUUGUCAUUUCUAUUCACAUAUCAUAAAGUUCUACACAUCAUUCCAUUCACAUUAUGACCAAAGCAUAAUGACACGGUCAUUGUCCAUGGUCCAUGGUCAUGGCCACCAUCAAAUGGGACAGAGGAAUACAACCCUGCUCAGGGAAACAGAAGAUAUUUAUGAAUAAUAAUAUGAUCUCCUACAGCAGAAAAAGCUUCCUGGCAAAGAAACAAUGGAUGUGGGUCUUGAAAGGAAACCCCAUUUUGCCAAUGGCACCCAGAGCUCAAAAAUGCAACCCAAGCAGUCCAAGUGAGCCGCAUCCCCAUCUCCACCCAGCGGAGCACGGAGGAGCCGGCCGGAAUUUCGCUGAAAUUAAAGUACAAAACAAUAAAAAGAAACAAACCAUAACAGUGAAGAAACUGGUAGAGAGUUACAGACCAAAUGACAAAUGAAUGAGAUAGAUUUCUAGAAGACAGAAGGUAGAUGGAAGCUUGUUGCUGGGACACCUCUCCAUAUUUCACAUCCACAUCCAUUUACCUCCUGGGUGUGGAUGCCCAGCAAAUAUCUCUAUGCUAAAAAAUGUACGGGCUCAGUUGAUAAAGAAAUGCAAAUCAAGACCACAAUGAGGUAUCAU